GACGAACGCUGGCGGCGUGCCUAAUACAUGCAAGUCGAGCGGGCCUCCGGAGGUGCUUGCACCUCCGGACGGCCAGCGGCGGACGGGUGAGUAACACGUGGGCAACCUGCCUUUGAGGCCGGGAUAACACCGGGAAACCGGUGCUAAUACCGGAUACGUCCUCUUUCGCGCCUGCGAGAGGGGAGAAAGACGGUCUUUAAGGCCGUCGCUCAAAGAGGGGCCCGCGGCGCAUUAGCUGGUUGGUGGGGCAAGGGCCUACCAAGGCGACGAUGCGUGGCUGACGUGAGGGGGGGAGCGGCCACACUGGGACUGAGACACGGCCAAGACUCCUGCGGGAGGCAGCAGUAGGGUAUCAUCCGCAAUGGGCGAAAGCCUGACGGUGCAACGCCGCGGGAGUGAGGAAGGUUUUCGGAUCGUAAGGCUCUGUUGUGAGGGAAGAGCAGCAUCCGGAGGAAAUGCCGGAGGUUUGCCGGUACCUCACCAGAAAGCCCCGGCUAACUACGUGCCAGCCGCCGCCGUAA
This 521-nucleotide ribosomal RNA is filed under the name uncultured bacterium. Its description in RNAcentral is "partial 16S ribosomal RNA". It matches the Rfam family "Bacterial small subunit ribosomal RNA", at positions 28 to 523 of the family's 1533-position model. The record is from RNAcentral.